Molecule: unclassified non-coding RNA, 19 nt
Filed under: Escherichia coli
Lineage: Bacteria; Pseudomonadati; Pseudomonadota; Gammaproteobacteria; Enterobacterales; Enterobacteriaceae
Description: RNA (5'-R(P*CP*CP*CP*CP*CP*CP*CP*CP*CP*CP*GP*GP*GP*GP*GP*GP*GP*GP*G)-3') from Escherichia coli (PDB 7OFZ, chain C)
Source: RNAcentral
CCCCCCCCCCGGGGGGGGG